GACGAACGCUGGCGGCGUGCUUAACACAUGCCAGUCGAGCGGAAAGGCCCUUCGGGGUACUCGAGCGGCGAACGGGUGAGUAACACGUGAGUAACCUGCCCCAGACUUUGGGAUAACCCCCGGAAACGGGGGCUAAUACCGGAUACGACACAGCUUCGCAUGGGGUCUGUGUGGAAAGUUUUUCGGUUUGGGAUGGGCUCGCGGCCUAUCAGCUUGUUGGUGGGGUGAUGGCCUACCAAGGCGACGACGGGUAGCCGGCCUGAGAGGGCGACCGGCCACACUGGGACUGAGACACGGCCCAGACUCCUACGGGAGGCAGCAGUGGGGAAUAUUGCACAAUGGGCGGAAGCCUGAUGCAGCGACGCCGCGUGAGGGAUGACGGCCUUCGGGUUGUAAACCUCUUUCAGCAGGGACGAAGCGUAAGUGACGGUACCUGCAGAAGAAGCGCCGGCCAACUACGUG
Molecule: ribosomal RNA, 462 nt
Filed under: uncultured bacterium
Lineage: Bacteria
Description: partial 16S ribosomal RNA
Rfam family: Bacterial small subunit ribosomal RNA
Source: RNAcentral